UGGCAGACGGCUGAGUAAUACAUGGGAAUCUACCUCAAACUCGAGAAUAGCCCAUCGAAAGGUGGUGUAAUACUCGAUAGUUCCGUUUACGGUAAAGCUCCGGCGGUUUGAGAUGAGCCCAUGUCCUAUCAGGUUGUUGGUGGGGUAAUUGCCUACCAAGCCUAUGACGGGUAGCUGGUUUGAGAGGAUGAUCAGCCAGACUGGGACUGCGAUACGGCCCAGACUCCUACGGGAGGCAGCAACUAGGAAUCAUGCGCAAUGGACGAAAGUCUGACGCUGCGACGUCGCGUGAGGGAUGAAGGUCUUCGGAUCGUAAACCUCUUUUAUCUGGGAACAAGUUCUGAGUGUACCAGAUGAAUAAGUGCCUGCCAACCACGUGCCAGAAGCAUCGGUAAUGCGUGGGGCACGAGCGUUAUCCGGAUUUACUGGGCGUAAAGAGAUGCGUAGGCGCCUUUUUAAGUCACUUGUAAAAUCUCCCCGCUCAACGGGGAAACUGCAAGUGAUACUGAAUUGGUUGAGUCAAGUAGAGGAGAGGGGAAUUCCUGGUGGAGCGGUUAAAUGCGUUGAUAUCAGGAGGAAUACCAAGUGCGAAGGCACCUCUCUGGACUUGUACUGACGCUAAGGCUCGAAAGUGUGGGGAGCAAAACGGAUUAGAUACCCGUGUAGUCCACACUGUAAACGAUCCCUGCUAGAUGUU
Molecule: ribosomal RNA, 697 nt
Filed under: uncultured organism
Description: bacterial SSU rRNA
Rfam family: Bacterial small subunit ribosomal RNA
Source: RNAcentral